RNA transcript from Myotis davidii, 555 nucleotides. It is a transcript of the gene named mitochondrial import inner membrane translocase subunit Tim9 pseudogene, with no coding region annotated. The record is from RefSeq and is a predicted model, not a curated record. Lineage: Eukaryota; Metazoa; Chordata; Mammalia; Chiroptera; Vespertilionidae. The transcript has a single exon.
AUAUGGCUGCACAAAUUCCAGAAUCUGAUCAGAUAAAACCGUUUAAAGAAUUUCUUGGAACCUACAAUAAACUUACAGAAACCUGCUUUUUGGACUGUGUUAAAGUCUUCACAACAAGAGAAGUAAAACCUGAAGAGACCAUCUGUUCAGAAUAUUGCUUACAGAAAUAUUUAAAAAUGACGCAAAGAAUAUCCAUGAGAUUUCAGGAAUAUCCUAUUCAGCAGAAUGAAGCCCUGGCAGACAAAGCAGGACUCCUUGGCCAGCAACGAUAGAGACGUCCUGAGGGGUGGACUUUCCCUGAAAGGUUGCCAAUAGCUUUGCACUGGAAGUGAGGCUUCAUCUAAUAGAAUCCCCUGAAAGCAGUAGCCACCAUGUUAACCAUCUGUCAUGACUGGCAAAUGGAAACCACUGGAGAAACAAAAUUGCUAUUUACCAGGGAUAAUCAAAAUAGAAGGUCUUAUUGUCCAAUCAAAAUGUAAGAUGCAACAUUUGUUGAGUCUUUAUGAUUCAGGAGCUUAGUCACUUGAUUAGAAAAAUAAACCAUUAUUUCUUCAA